AAAGAAUGAAAAUAUGUCAGCAUCCAAGGAAGAGGCAGUGAGGAGUGCAGCAGCUUACUCAGGAGCCUGGAAGCAAAAUGGUGAGCAAGAGAGGGCAGGAGGAGGAGGAUGAAGUAUGUGGAGACAGGAUAUAAGCUCUGUAAGAGAAGCAGCUUUCACGGUUUUGUUCACUGUGGUAUCCCCAGGACCCAGAACUUAGUGGUAAGUACUCAAUGAAGAAUUGUUAUAUGAAUAAAUCAAUUUCUUUAGCACUAUCUUUGUAUGCUUUAGCUGUGACUUCAUAUUCCUUUAGAGAUAUAUUUCUAUUAUAACUUAUUUUUUUCUGAAUAAAUUUUGCAAUUUAUCGCUUCCAAUGACAUUUUUAUUCCCCUAUUAUGCUUUCAAGAUCUAAAUAGUCUUUGAGCAUCAUAGUAGAUACCUUUCUCACAUAACUACUUCAUAAUUUUUUUAUUUUAAAGUUAGUACUACUGUUGUUGAAAUUUUCAGAUGGUUGUGGACUUUCUGAAGUUAUAGGUAUAUUGUCAAUCUUGCUGCCAGUUAUUUGUUCCCCUCUGAUGUUUUAAUACACAUGGUUUGGAUUUGUCUUUUUAAGAUUCUCCCACUGUUUUUGCAACUUACUUGGCAAGGCGGGGUGGGGGAGGAUGUGAGAAGAGGGUACUGGUAGCAGAACAGAAAAACAAAGUUCUAUUUUAAAAAAACAGACUUGCAAUAUAGCAUAAAUAUUAAGGCUCUGGAUUUUAAAAUACAUGGGCUUUAUUCUUUCUUCCACCGUUUUCCAAUUAUGAUCUUUUAUCUUGCUUAAACAAGAUAUAUCUCUAAAUCUGUUUCCUUAUUUUUAAAAUGAAGUAAAUAGCACUGUAAUUAGAAUGAAAAAGGAUGAAAAAGGAUAAUAAAGCAUUUAAUACAAUGAUGAGUAUAAAUGUAUUCAACAUAAACUUAGAAAAACAAAAAGUUAUUGAUAAUCAGAACACAUUCAACACAUAACCUUAUUUGAAGCAUAUCAUUAGGCCAAAGGAGUAAUUAGAACCUACACACAGAAUAUCAUUUCAGGUCCUUGAGGAUGCCUUCCACCCACAGGGAAUGAGUUGAGACCAGAGAUAUAACCCACAAUAGUAUUUGAGUAAGAGGAGAAACAGGGCAGGUAAUAAAUAAAUUUAGUUGUUAUUGUUUCUAUUGAGAUAAGGAUUUGGGGGCAGGGGGAUUAUGUGCUGAAGAUUUCAUUUUCUUUUAAGGGAAUGUGUGACAACAUAAAUUCUUUAACAUUUAACAACUGUUAGAUCUGUAACUUUGAAACCUGAAAUUAUUUGUGUGAAAAAAAAGGCAGACCAGGUACAGAUAACAAAAUCUGAUGGAGAAAAUGCAAAUGCAGAAAAGGUCAGACUUAAUUGGCUAAUUACAUUGUCCUACUUAAUUUUGUACAAUUUUGCUCAUAAUAUGAAAAGAUAAGUUUUCUGAGCAAUUGAAAUUGGAUUUGUUUUUCUGGGCAAGUACCAUUCCAAAAGCAAAGCAGCAGGAGGGAAAAAAAAAAAAUGUUGUUUUUCCAAGCAAUCAGCUUCCAGUAGAAGUUAAAAAGUAAUAAAUGGAACCAAGUCAUAAAAUAGAUCUUCUUAUGAUCAACUUCAUAACGUCCAAAAUAUUUUAUUAAUCAUAUAUUAAACAUCACCACAAGAAUUGCUCCACAUUUAAGAGUAAACCAGAUUUGAAAACAAUAAUUAAAUUAAAGGAGUGUUUAAAACCCAAAUAUAUUAAGCAUCCAGAGCCUUGUAAACACCAGAGGUCAACAGAGGAAUGAGAGGAAAGCAGAGACAUAAGUGGAGUAAAGCUUGUUUUGCCAGAGGAUGGAGAGAGGCAUGCGAUAACCUCCCACAUUCCAGUACAUGACUGGCUCGAUCAGCUGCAGUGAGUAUGACAAAGUGGUUUCACAGGUUCCAUUCCUUGUCCUGUAACCCUACGGUAGGAGGUUAACUGGAGUAGAAGAUUCAGGUUAGUUCCCACAUGAAACUGAGGAUGUCUUUAUACUACUGCCAGUUGACUGAGCCUGGGACUACCUCUAGUCAGAACUCAAGCAACAUAUUUAACCGUCAGGUUGUAGACUUUUGAGGAAUUUAACC
Molecule: long non-coding RNA, 2111 nt
Organism: Papio anubis (olive baboon)
Lineage: Eukaryota; Metazoa; Chordata; Mammalia; Primates; Cercopithecidae
Source: Ensembl